GGGAUGGCUCAAUGGUUAAGAGCACUGACUGCUCUUCCAGAGGACCUGGGUUCAAUUCCCAGCGCCCA
This 68-nucleotide transfer RNA is filed under the name Cricetulus griseus (Chinese hamster). It matches the Rfam family "tRNA". From Rfam's summary of the family: Transfer RNA (tRNA) molecules are approximately 80 nucleotides in length. Their secondary structure includes four short double-helical elements and three loops (D, anti-codon, and T loops). Further hydrogen bonds mediate the characteristic L-shaped molecular structure. tRNAs have two regions of fundamental functional importance: the anti-codon, which is responsible for specific mRNA codon recognition, and the 3' end, to which the tRNAs corresponding amino acid is attached (by aminoacyl-tRNA synthetases). tRNAs cope with the degeneracy of the genetic code in two manners: having more than one tRNA (with a specific anti-codon) for a particular amino acid; and 'wobble' base-pairing, i.e. permitting non-standard base-pairing at the 3rd anti-codon position. The record is from Rfam by way of RNAcentral. Lineage: Eukaryota; Metazoa; Chordata; Mammalia; Rodentia; Cricetidae.